GCUGAUUAGGUCUGUGGUUGAAAGUCGAUGCCAGCCGCAGGCGAAACGAUCCACGUAAGUCAGAUAAGGUCUGAUGAGCAUGGUGCGGUUUAGAAGUAAGUCCUGCCGGGAAAACCGAGAGAAGGAUUAGUGAGAGGCAUACCACCUUGAGCAAAACUUCCAGCAGGCGAGUGUGGGGUCAAAGACCAGGUCAGCUAAUCAGU
Molecule: non-coding RNA, 203 nt
Filed under: Caloramator mitchellensis
Lineage: Bacteria; Bacillati; Bacillota; Clostridia; Eubacteriales; Clostridiaceae
Description: raiA RNA
Rfam family: raiA RNA
Source: Rfam by way of RNAcentral